Molecule: ribosomal RNA, 433 nt
Filed under: uncultured bacterium
Lineage: Bacteria
Description: partial 16S ribosomal RNA
Rfam family: Bacterial small subunit ribosomal RNA
Source: RNAcentral
GACGAACGCUGGCGGCGGGCUUAACACAUGCAAGUCGAACGGAUACUUCGGGAUUAGUGGCAGACGGGGGAGUAACGCGUGGGGACGUACACUUUGCUACGGAAUACCUCAGGGAAAGUUGAGCUAAUGCCGUAUGUGCCCUAAGGGGGAAAGAUUUAUCGGCAAAGGAUCGGCCCGCGUGGGAUUAGGUAGUUGGUGGGGUAAUGGCCUACCACGGGCUGGAUCCAUAGCUGGUUUGAGAGGAUGGUCAGCCACACUUGGACUACGACACGGCCCAGACUCCUACGGAAGGGAGCAGAGGGUAAUAUAGGACAACGGGCGCAAGCCUGAUCCCGCCAUGCCGCGUAAGUGAUGAUGGUCGUAGGAAUCUAAAGCGCUUUCACCGGUGAAGAUAAUGACGGUAGCCGGUGAAGAAGCCCCGGCUAACUUCGUG